This 161-nucleotide ribosomal RNA is filed under the name Hordeum arizonicum. RNAcentral describes it as "5.8S ribosomal RNA". It matches the Rfam family "5.8S ribosomal RNA". From Rfam's summary of the family: 5.8S ribosomal RNA (5.8S rRNA) is a component of the large subunit of the eukaryotic ribosome. It is transcribed by RNA polymerase I as part of the 45S precursor that also contains 18S and 28S rRNA. Functionally, it is thought that 5.8S rRNA may be involved in ribosome translocation. The record is from RNAcentral. Lineage: Eukaryota; Viridiplantae; Streptophyta; Magnoliopsida; Poales; Poaceae.
ACGACUCUCGGCAACGGAUAUCUCGGCUCUCGCAUCGAUGAAGAACGUAGCGAAAUGCGAUACCUGGUGUGAAUUGCAGAAUCCCGCGAACCAUCGAGUCUUUGAACGCAAGUUGCGCCUGAGGCCACUCGGCCGAGGGCACGCCUGCCUGGCGUCACGCC